GGACUGUGUCCAAGUUACCCCAGGCAGAUAACCUGGGUCUGAGAGAAUGUGCUAAAUGUACAUGGCUUUUGAAUAUAGAAACAGAGAAAGAACUAAAAUAAAGACAGCCAUCUGAGACUGCACCUGCAGACUGAGGCAACUCUGCCUGUCAAAGCCAUUAGUAUGAAAUACUGCAAACACAGAAUUAUUUCUGCUUUGUUCAGAGCCCAUUCCCAGCAAAACAAAGAACAGACACUCAGCUAAAGCAAUUGGGCAAGAAGGAACAGCAACAUCGGUGGUGAGCUCUUGCUGAUAGUGAGAGGGCCUUGGGAAGUGUCCAAGGUAAAGGACCUAUUGCUGAGUUGUCUUGAAACUCUCCUGAUGGAAGCAAAAAAAAAAAAAAAUCCAGUUGAAAGGUUUACAUUAUAGAAAAUACAGGCUUGAAAAAGUCUCCUGACUGUUACUACAUUUCAGUGUCCAACAAGUUCAAGUGGGACUUAAAUUCAAGUCUAGGUAGAACAACUUUGAUAGUCUGUCCUAGGAAUGCAGAAUCAAUAACACCUCCAGACGCUCAUGAGUGGACCUUACACAGUGUUUUCUGAAUAUCCUAUGAUAAAGAAUUUUAAUAAAGUUCUACAGUAACUACAGUAA
Suricata suricatta (meerkat) is the source of this 630-nucleotide long non-coding RNA. RefSeq lists it as uncharacterized. The record is from RefSeq and is a predicted model, not a curated record. The transcript has 7 exons. Lineage: Eukaryota; Metazoa; Chordata; Mammalia; Carnivora; Herpestidae.